UACGUAGGGGGCAAGCGUUGUCCGGAUUUAUUGGGCGUAAGGAGCGUGUAGGCGGCCUGGUAGGUCAGCUGUGAAAACUCGAGGCUCAACCUCGAGACGCCGGUUGAAACCAUCAGGCUAGAGUCCGGAAGAGGAGAGUGGAAUUCCCGGUGUAGCGGUGAAAUGCGCAGAUAUCGGGAAGAACACCCGUGGCUAAGGCGGCUCUCUAGUACGGUACUGACGCUGAGACGCGAAAGCGUGGGGAGCGAACAGG
This 253-nucleotide ribosomal RNA is filed under the name uncultured bacterium. RNAcentral describes it as "partial 16S ribosomal RNA". It matches the Rfam family "Bacterial small subunit ribosomal RNA", at positions 524 to 776 of the family's 1533-position model. The record is from RNAcentral.